AAUGCAUUUAGCUUUGAGCUGAAGAAAGCUGCGGCUGGUGCAAGCAUCUCUCAGCUCACACAGGCAUUAACAUAUACGGUCAUUGUCUCUGCUGCUUCCCACUGCAGCUUUAUAUAAUAAAACAAGCCGCGUCAAAUAGGCUAGGCUGUAAUAUUAGGUAAAAUCUAAUUUCAGUUUGGUUAUCACAUAGCGUUCAUUUCCCUAAGGGAGGAGAAAAAAUUAAAUUUGUAAGCUUAAGAUUCCAGCUGAAGUACUCAAGAAUCCUGUUUCUCUGACAGAGGAAACGAACAACAACUUGACUGGACACAUCCUAACCCAACCAUACGCUGUGUUACUUCCUCUACUGCGCCACACACAGCUAUUAUUCUAAGCUUUCUUAUUCAAACCCUUAAGGAUUUGUAAGGAGAACGCUAAGAAGAUGGGCAGAAAUCAAAGCUUCCUGGUGUGAGGUUGUGGUAGAAGAUUCCUGGUUG
RNAcentral lists this long non-coding RNA (473 nucleotides) under Papio anubis (olive baboon). RNAcentral's name for it is "lncRNA (ENSPANG00000049179.1)". Lineage: Eukaryota; Metazoa; Chordata; Mammalia; Primates; Cercopithecidae. The record is from RNAcentral.